GGACUACAGGGGUUUCUAAUCCCGUUCGCUCCCCUGGCUUUCGCACCUGAGCGUCAGGUACUUCCCAGGACACUGCCUUCGCCUUUGGUGUUCCUCCGGAUAUCUACGCAUUUCACCACUCCACCCGGAAUUCCGUGUCCCUCUGAAGCCCUCAAGUCCGCCAGUUUUCAGACCACUUUCCCAGUUGAGCCGGGAACUGUCACCCUGAACUUGGCUGACCGCCUGCGUGCGCUUUACGCCCAAUAAAUCCGGACAACGCUUGCCCCCUACGUAUUACCGCGGCUGCUGGCAC
Molecule: ribosomal RNA, 292 nt
Filed under: uncultured bacterium
Lineage: Bacteria
Description: partial 16S ribosomal RNA
Source: RNAcentral